This 379-nucleotide unclassified non-coding RNA is filed under the name uncultured Gammaproteobacteria bacterium. RNAcentral describes it as "contains 16S-23S intergenic spacer region". The record is from RNAcentral. Lineage: Bacteria; Pseudomonadati; Pseudomonadota; Gammaproteobacteria.
UCGCGCCUUACGGCGGCAGUUUCACUAGAGUUCCCAGCUUUACCUGAUGGCAACUAGUGAUAGGGGUUGCGCUCGUUGCGGGGCUUAACCCAACACCUCACGGCACGAGCUGACGACAGCCAUGCAGCACCUGUGUUCCGAUUCCCUUUCGGGCACUCCCACCUCUCAGCAGGAUUCCGGACAUGUCAAGGGUAGGUAAGGUUUUGCGCGUUGCAUCGAAUUAAUCCACAUCAUCCACCGCUUGUGCGGGUCCCCGUCAAUUCCUUUGAGUUUUAAUCUUGCGACCGUACUCCCCAGGCGGUCAACUUCACGCGUUAGCUGCGGUACUGAGAAAUCGCUUCCCCAACACCUAGUUGACAUCGUUUAGGGCGUGGACUAC